Paramisgurnus dabryanus is the source of this 419-nucleotide long non-coding RNA. RefSeq lists it as uncharacterized. NCBI's taxonomy places the organism in Eukaryota, Metazoa, Chordata, Actinopteri, Cypriniformes, Cobitidae. The record is from RefSeq and is a predicted model, not a curated record.
UUGCACCCCGCCUGAGAUCUACACGGAUGAGAAAUUCCAUGCUGUGCCAGCAAACGUCUGGGCCUUAGGUAUUUUGCUGUACUUCAUGGUGCUUAGACGUUUCCCUUCUAAUUUAAACGACUUUCACUCCGGGAAUCUGAAGACAACUGAGAAGGAUUUAUCAAAGGAAAUCUGUGAUCUGUUAAGAGGUUGCCUGGCCCUGAAUCCAAGUGAUCGUCCGACACUCAAGCAGAUCUUAGAUCAUGACUGGUUUAAAACUGAGUCUGAUGAAGAAGAGCUACUCGUAUACAAAAUGAGGGCACUAUCCAUGCAAAAUAAACAAAGGAUGAAGCUAACUAAAAUAGAAAAUAUAAAAAGGAUGAAGCUGAAUGACUGAAGGAGAGGGGAAUGAUCGGAGAUGCUGUUUUCAUCAUCCUGAG